UACGAAGGGGGCUAGCGUUGUUCGGAAUUACUGGGCGUAAAGCGCACGUAGGCGGAUUGUUAAGUGAGGGGUGAAAUCCCAGGGCUCAACCCUGGAACUGCCUUUCAUACUGGCAAUCUCGAGUCCGAGAGAGGUGAGUGGAAUUCCGAGUGUAGAGGUGAAAUUCGUAGAUAUUCGGAGGAACACCAGUGGCGAAGGCGGCUCACUGGCUCGGUACUGACGCUGAGGCGCGAAAGCGUGGGGAGCAAACAGG
RNAcentral lists this ribosomal RNA (253 nucleotides) under uncultured bacterium. RNAcentral describes it as "partial 16S ribosomal RNA". It matches the Rfam family "Bacterial small subunit ribosomal RNA", at positions 524 to 776 of the family's 1533-position model. The record is from RNAcentral.